UUUGAAUAACUUUUGUGUGUGUGUGUGUGUGUGUGUGUGUGUGUGUGUGUGUGUGUGUGCAGGAGGCCAGAAUAACUUGUCUGGCAAUGAUAAGAGUGGAUGGAGGAACUGUCUAUCCCUGUCCCAUGGUCUUGUCCACAGGUCAGCCUCACAAAGGGAAAGAGCCCUGGAUGGGAAUACAGUGGGAGCUCACUUUCUUAGUGACCUGGGGACAUUGGCUCGAGAUGAGGCCUGGCAGGAGUGGCAACUCCAGCUCGAGCCCUCUGUCUCUUGCCUCGGCACCUGGGUGGCUUGCCGCCCACAAGUGGGCAUCUCCAUUGCACACAGUGAAAAGUUUGGUGAAGGAUUUUAAGGACUUCCCAUUGGCUGAAGGCUGGCAAAUGGAGUUUGCCAUCCUCUGACUGCAGCCAUUCUGAGGACUGGAAAGAAUACCCUGAGAAGUGGCCUAUUUUAUUUCUGCAGGAAGAAGAUGAGAUUUCUGCGCCUGUGACAAUCAAGAACAGCCUUCAGCUUGGUCUCCUUUCAGGCUGGAGUGCAGUGGCACGAUCUUGGCUCAGUGCAACCUCCGCCUCCCAGGUUCAAGCGAUUCUCCUGCCUCAGCCUCCCGAGUAGCUGGGACCACAGGUGCCCGCCACUAUGCCCGGCUAAUUUUUUGUAGUUUUAGAAGAGACGGGGUUUCACCAUGUUAGCCAGGAUGGUCUCGAUUUCCUGACCUCGUGAUCCGCCCGCCUCAGCCUCCCAAAGUGCUGGGAUUACAGGCAUGAGCCACCGUGCCCGGCCCAAAUCACCAAAUUUUC
This is a long non-coding RNA of Pongo pygmaeus (Bornean orangutan), 797 nucleotides long. RefSeq lists it as uncharacterized. The transcript is spliced from 5 exons. The record is from RefSeq and is a predicted model, not a curated record. Lineage: Eukaryota; Metazoa; Chordata; Mammalia; Primates; Hominidae.